CCUACGGGCGGCUGCAGUAGGGAAUAUUGCUCAAUGGGGGAAACCCUGAAGCAGCAACGCCGCGUGGAGGAUGAAGGUUUUCGGAUUGUAAACUCCUUUUGUUAGAGAAGAUAAUGACGGUAUCUAACGAAUAAGCACCGGCUAACUCCGUGCCAGCAGCCGCGGUAAUACGGAGGGUGCAAGCGGUACUCGGAAUCACUGGGCGUAAAGAGCGCGUAGGCGGGAUAGCAAGUCAGAUGUGAAAUCCUAGGGCUUAACCAUAGAACUGCAUUUGAAACUGUUUGUCUAGAGUAUGGGAGAGGUAGGUGGAAUUCUUGGUGUAGGGGUAAAAUCCGUAGAGAUCAAGAGGAAUACUCAUUGCGAAGGCGACCUGCUAGAACAUAACUGACGCUGAUGCGCGAAAGCGUGGGGAGCAAACAGGAUUAGAUACCCCUGUAGUC
Molecule: ribosomal RNA, 440 nt
Filed under: uncultured bacterium
Lineage: Bacteria
Description: partial 16S ribosomal RNA
Rfam family: Bacterial small subunit ribosomal RNA
Source: RNAcentral